Molecule: long non-coding RNA, 906 nt
Filed under: Marmota monax (woodchuck)
Lineage: Eukaryota; Metazoa; Chordata; Mammalia; Rodentia; Sciuridae
Source: RNAcentral
CCAGCCGCUCAGGAGGCUGAGGCAGGAGGAUCGCAAGUUCAAAGCCAGCCUCAGCAACUUAGUGAGGCCCUAAGCAACUCAGUGAGACUCUGUCUCUAAAUAAAAUACAAAAUAGGGCUGGGGAUGGGGCUCAGGGGUUCAAUCGUCAGUUACCUCCCCCUCCCCCCCCAAAAAAAGAACUCCAGUUUCCUUUUUCCUCAACCCCUGGGAAGGGGAAACACUCUCCUACCUGAGUUGUUGGUGCUGGACGCUUGCCCUGGGUUGGUCAGAAGACAAGAUGGUGGCCUGGGUCUUCCCUGGAAGGUGGAUGCUAGAGAUGAGGGACGGGAUUUCCCUCACACUGGCUUCCCUUGGGGACACAAGGUGGUGCCCCAAAUCCGGGCAUCACAUCCAGAUCCAAUUACAUCCAUAGGAAGAAGGGGAGUGGCUCCUCCUUUCUCUCUUUUUAUAGAGAAGGAAACUUUCCCCUAAAGUUCCUCAGCUCGUCUCCCCUCUCCUAUUGUUGGCCAGAAUUUGCCAUCUCUUUCAUGCUCCACCCAAUUGCCAGACAGGAAGUAGCAAUUGGCCUAAAAGCAGAUGGCAAUAUGGAGGAAGGAAGUGACCCUGGACAGGCUGAGCUCUGUGAUGCAGGAGCAUGCCCAUAUUGCCUGGCCAACCAAUAGUGUCUGCUGUGGUCUCUUUCCAAAUGUCCUCCAGAGGGUGGGGUGCCCUCACUGUCACCAAGAAGUUCUGAGGCUCAUUGUGGAGCCAUCAAUAGGUCACUUUUUUAGGGGCCUAUGGCCUGGGCCUACCCACAGGGUCAAAAGCCCUCCCAACCCCGAGAUGCAGUGACUUCUCCAGUGCAUAAUCUGCAUUUUUACAGUGAAAUAAUGUGGGCUAUGAAUUUUCCUGUGAAUACACUUUUAG